This 327-nucleotide ribosomal RNA is filed under the name uncultured eukaryote. RNAcentral's name for it is "partial 18S ribosomal RNA". It matches the Rfam family "Eukaryotic small subunit ribosomal RNA", at positions 1470 to 1796 of the family's 1831-position model. The record is from RNAcentral.
CCCUUAGAUGUCCUGGGCCGCACGCGCGCUACAAUGAUGCAACCAACGAGUGCUGCUCCUUGGCCGAGAGGCCCGGGGAACCUUGCAAACUGCAUCGUGCUGGGGAUAGAUGAUUGCAAUUCUUCAUCUUGAACGAGGAAUGCCUUGUAAGCGUGAGUCAUCAACUCGCGCUGAAUGCGUCCCUGCCCUUUGUACACACCGCCCGUCGCUCCUACCGAUUGAGUGGUCCGGUGAGGCUUUGGGAUCUGAGCGGAAAGAGCGUUUCGCUGUUUCUGCUCGGAAAACUCAGUCGAACCUUAUCAUUUAGAGGAAGGAGAAGUCGUAACA